UACGUAGGGGGCAAGCGUUGUCCGGAAUUAUUGGGCGUAAAGCGCGCGCAGGCGGUUAUUUAAGUCUGGUGUUUAAUCCUGGGGCUCAACCCCGGGUCGCACCGGAAACUGGGUAACUUGAGUACAGAAGAGGAGAGUGGAAUUCCACGUGUAGCGGUGAAAUGCGUAGAUAUGUGGAGGAACACCAGUGGCGAAGGCGACUCUCUGGGCUGCAACUGACGCUGAGGCGCGAAAGCGUGGGGAGCAAACAGG
RNAcentral lists this ribosomal RNA (252 nucleotides) under uncultured bacterium. RNAcentral's name for it is "partial 16S ribosomal RNA". It matches the Rfam family "Bacterial small subunit ribosomal RNA", at positions 524 to 776 of the family's 1533-position model. The record is from RNAcentral.